Molecule: ribosomal RNA, 159 nt
Filed under: Roldana reticulata
Lineage: Eukaryota; Viridiplantae; Streptophyta; Magnoliopsida; Asterales; Asteraceae
Description: 5.8S ribosomal RNA
Rfam family: 5.8S ribosomal RNA
About the family: 5.8S ribosomal RNA (5.8S rRNA) is a component of the large subunit of the eukaryotic ribosome.
Source: RNAcentral
GACUCUCGGCAGCGGAUAUCUCGGCUCACGCAUCGAUGAAGAACGUAGCAAAAUGCGAUACUUGGUGUGAAUUGCAGAAUCCCGUGAACCAUCGAGUUUUUGAACGCAAGUUGCGCCCAAAGCCUUUCGGCUGAGGGCACGUCUGCCUGGGCGUCACAC